RNAcentral lists this ribosomal RNA (479 nucleotides) under uncultured bacterium. RNAcentral's name for it is "bacterial SSU rRNA". It matches the Rfam family "Bacterial small subunit ribosomal RNA", at positions 30 to 507 of the family's 1533-position model. The record is from RNAcentral.
AUUGAACGCUGGCGGAAUGCUUUACACAUGCAAGUCGAACGGUAGAGGGGGCAACCCCUCGAGAGUGGCGAACGGGUGAGUAAUAUAUCGGAACGUGCCCAGUCGUGGGGGAUAACGUAGCGAAAGUUACGCUAAUACCGCAUACGAUCUACGGAUGAAAGCGGGGGAUCGCAAGACCUCGCGCGAUUGGAGCGGCCGAUAUCAGAUUAGGUAGUUGGUGGGGUAAAGGCUCACCAAGCCAACGAUCUGUAGCUGGUCUGAGAGGACGACCAGCCACACUGGAACUGAGACACGGUCCAGACUCCUACGGGAGGCAGCAGUGGGGAAUUUUGGGACAAUGGACGCAAGUCUGAUCCAGCCAUUCCGCGUGCAGGAUGAAGGCCCUCGGGUUGUAAACUGCUUUUGUACGGAACGAAAAGGUUUCUAUUAUACUAGGAGCUCAUGACGGUACCGUAAGAUAAGCACCGGCUAACUACGUG